AAAUUGAAGAGUUUGAUCAUGGCUCAGAUUGAACGCUGGCGGCAGGCCUAACACAUGCAAGUCGAGCGGUAGCACAGAGAGCUUGCUCUCGGGUGACGAGCGGCGGACGGGUGAGUAAUGUCUGGGAAACUGCCUGAUGGAGGGGGAUAACUACUGGAAACGGUAGCUAAUACCGCAUAAUGUCGCAAGACCAAAGAGGGGGACCUUCGGGCCUCUUGCCAUCAGAUGUGCCCAGAUGGGAUUAGCUAGUAGGUGGGGUAACGGCUCACCUAGGCGACGAUCCCUAGCUGGUCUGAGAGGAUGACCAGCCACACUGGAACUGAGACACGGUCCAGACUCCUACGGGAGGCAGCAGUGGGGAAUAUUGCACAAUGGGCGCAAGCCUGAUGCAGCCAUGCCGCGUGUAUGAAGAAGGCCUUCGGGUUGUAAAGUACUUUCAGCGGGGAGGAAGGUGUUGAGGUUAAUAACCUCAGCAAUUGACGUUACCCGCAGAAGAAGCACCGGCUAACUCCGUGCCAGCAGCCGCGGUAAUACGGAGGGUGCAAGCGUUAAUCGGAAUUACUGGGCGUAAAGCGCACGCAGGCGGUCUGUCAAGUCGGAUGUGAAAUCCCCGGGCUCAACCUGGGAACUGCAUUCGAAACUGGCAGGCUAGAGUCUUGUAGAGGGGGGUAGAAUUCCAGGUGUAGCGGUGAAAUGCGUAGAGAUCUGGAGGAAUACCGGUGGCGAAGGCGGCCCCCUGGACAAAGACUGACGCUCAGGUGCGAAAGCGUGGGGAGCAAACAGGAUUAGAUACCCUGGUAGUCCACGCCGUAAACGAUGUCGAUUUGGAGGUUGUGCCCUUGAGGCGUGGCUUCCGGAGCUAACGCGUUAAAUCGACCGCCUGGGGAGUACGGCCGCAAGGUUAAAACUCAAAUGAAUUGACGGGGGCCCGCACAAGCGGUGGAGCAUGUGGUUUAAUUCGAUGCAACGCGAAGAACCUUACCUACUCUUGACAUCCAGAGAACUUAGCAGAGAUGCUUUGGUGCCUUCGGGAACUCUGAGACAGGUGCUGCAUGGCUGUCGUCAGCUCGUGUUGUGAAAUGUUGGGUUAAGUCCCGCAACGAGCGCAACCCUUAUCCUUUGUUGCCAGCGGUUCGGCCGGGAACUCAAAGGAGACUGCCAGUGAUAAACUGGAGGAAGGUGGGGAUGACGUCAAGUCAUCAUGGCCCUUACGAGUAGGGCUACACACGUGCUACAAUGGCGCAUACAAAGAGAAGCGACCUCGCGAGAGCAAGCGGACCUCAUAAAGUGCGUCGUAGUCCGGAUUGGAGUCUGCAACUCGACUCCAUGAAGUCGGAAUCGCUAGUAAUCGUAGAUCAGAAUGCUACGGUGAAUACGUUCCCGGGCCUUGUACACACCGCCCGUCACACCAUGGGAGUGGGUUGCAAAAGAAGUAGGUAGCUUAACCUUCGGGAGGGCGCUUACCACUUUGUGAUUCAUGACUGGGGUGAAGUCGUAACAAGGUAACCGUAGGGGAACCUGCGGUUGGAUCACCUCCUUACCUUAAAGAA
RNAcentral lists this ribosomal RNA (1550 nucleotides) under Enterobacter cloacae. Its description in RNAcentral is "bacterial SSU rRNA". It matches the Rfam family "Bacterial small subunit ribosomal RNA". Lineage: Bacteria; Pseudomonadati; Pseudomonadota; Gammaproteobacteria; Enterobacterales; Enterobacteriaceae. The record is from RNAcentral.